Molecule: RNA transcript, 1051 nt
Organism: Selaginella moellendorffii
Lineage: Eukaryota; Viridiplantae; Streptophyta; Lycopodiopsida; Selaginellales; Selaginellaceae
Gene name: succinate dehydrogenase [ubiquinone] iron-sulfur subunit 1, mitochondrial
Exons: 3
Source: RefSeq, a predicted model, not a curated record
ACUAGCCGAGCUUUAGGUCAGGGUUGAGUGUCCCAUUUUCUCUCUUCCUGGUAGAUCUUCGCGAUAUCGAGGCAGCGAUGUUCACGGCAGCUGGAGCGAUCGCCAAGCGCCUCGGCAGGCCCGCUGCCAGCGCUGUAAGUAUCAGGGCGAGCGCCACCGCCUCGGACUCCACCCUCGGCCAGGAGAAAUCCUCCAACAUCAAGGAGUUUUCGAUCUACCGCUGGAAUCCCGAUGGCAGCAGCAAUCCCCAGCAGCAGGUCUACAAGAUCGACCUCAACGAUUGCGGUCCCAUGGUGCUGGAUGCUCUCAUCAAGAUCAAGAACGAGGUGGAUCAGGGUCUCACCUUCCGGCGAUCGUGCCGGGAGGGGAUUUGCGGCUCCUGCGCGAUGAACAUCAAUGGGAAGAAUGCGCUGGCCUGCCUGACCAAGAUCGAGAAGGACGCUGCCCAGACGUCGGUGCUUCCGCUGCCACACAUGUACGUGAUCAAGGACCUGGUGGUGGACCUCACGAACUUCUACCAGCAGUACAAGAGCGUGGAGCCGUGGCUCAAGACCAAGACUAUGCUAGAGGCUGGCCAGAAGGAGCACUUGCAGAGCAAGAAGGAGAGGCUGAAGCUGGAUGGGAUGUAUGAGUGUAUCCUGUGCGCGUGCUGUACCUCUUCCUGCCCGAGCUACUGGUGGAAUCCCGAGAAGUUCUUGGGUCCUGCGGCAUUGCUUCACGCUCACAGAUGGAUUGCCGAUAGCCGAGAUGAGUACACGCGGGAGAGGCUGGAAGCCAUCGCCGGAGACUACAAAGUUGGGCGCUGCCACACCAUUCGCAACUGUGAGAACGCUUGUCCCAAGGGAUUGAGCCCUGCUAACCAGAUCAUCAAGAUCAAGGCGCUCCAAAACACCCUCUAGACGCCUCCAGAUCUUCGCUUUUUUCCUCCGGAAUAAGUGACAAGCGUUUCUUCGUCGAUGAAUAGCAAUAAAGUCCACUCAACUAAGGAGCAAAUGGUCAUAUUUCUUAUGGUUUUAUUUCGGCCACGAUGCUCGAAGAAAAAGUUUCAUUU